GUGUCGUAGUCUGUGAUUUUAUCCAGGAAAUAAUAGGAGCUGUGGUGAUGAAAUUUUCCAACACAAAAGAAAAAUACAUAGAAGCAGUACGGUAAUCAAAUACUGGCUGAAGUCUCCAAAAACUCGGUUUACCAGCAAAGAGAAAUCUAAGUAAAAAUGUUCAAACACCGGAUCCUGGAGGAGAAUCUGAAAGCUACAAAAAUUGAGAUUGAAUUGAGGUGCAGUAACAUAAACCAGUAUGUAGCUCAAAAAUUGCUACUUCAAACAGGAAGAGAAUAAAGUAUUUUGCAGCACCACAAUAAGGACCUUUCUUAGUAGAUAAAUGACAUGCAUAUGAGUUAUUUUAAUAAACAAACUUCUCACAUUA
Molecule: long non-coding RNA, 367 nt
Organism: Nilaparvata lugens (brown planthopper)
Lineage: Eukaryota; Metazoa; Arthropoda; Insecta; Hemiptera; Delphacidae
Exons: 3
Source: RefSeq, a predicted model, not a curated record